AGUCGAACGGAAAGGCCCUGCUUGCAGGGUACUCGAGUGGCGAACGGGUGAGUAACACGUGGGUGAUCUGCCCUGCACUUCGGGAUAAGCCUGGGAAACUGGGUCUAAUACCGGAUAGGAGCCAUUUUUAGUGUGAUGGUUGGAAAGUUUUUUCGGUGUAGGAUGAGCUCGCGGCCUAUCAGCUUGUUGGUGGGGUAAUGGCCUACCAAGGCGGCGACGGGUAGCCGGCCUGAGAGGGUGGACGGCCACAUUGGGACUGAGAUACGGCCCAGACUCCUACGGGAGGCAGCAGUGGGGAAUAUUGCACAAUGGGCGCAAGCCUGAUGCAGCGACGCCGCGUGGGGGAUGACGGCCUUCGGGUUGUAAACUCCUUUCGCUAGGGACGAAGCUUUUUGUGACGGUACCUAGAUAAGAAGCACCGGCUAACUACGUGCCAGCAGCCGCGGUAAUACGUAGGGUGCGAGCGUUGUCCGGAAUUACUGGGCGUAAAGGGCUCGUAGGUGGUUUGCCGCGUCGUCUGUGAAAUUCCGGGGCUUAACUCCGGGCGUGCAGGCGAUACGGGCAUAACUUGAGUACUGUAGGGGUAACUGGAAUUCCUGGUGUAGCGGUGAAAUGCGCAGAUAUCAGGAGGAACACCGAUGGCGAAGGCAGGUUACUGGGCAGUUACUGACGCUGAGGAGCGAAAGCAUGGGUA
Molecule: ribosomal RNA, 694 nt
Filed under: uncultured Actinomycetales bacterium
Lineage: Bacteria; Bacillati; Actinomycetota; Actinomycetes; Actinomycetales
Description: bacterial SSU rRNA
Rfam family: Bacterial small subunit ribosomal RNA
Source: RNAcentral